This 253-nucleotide ribosomal RNA is filed under the name uncultured bacterium. RNAcentral describes it as "partial 16S ribosomal RNA". It matches the Rfam family "Bacterial small subunit ribosomal RNA", at positions 524 to 776 of the family's 1533-position model. The record is from RNAcentral.
UACAGAGAGUGCGAGCGUUAAUCGGAAUUACUGGGCGUAAAGCGCACGUAGGUGGCGACGUAAGUCGGGUGUGAAAGCCCCGGGCUCAACCUGGGAAUUGCAUUCGAGACUGCAUUGCUGGAGUACGGAAGAGGAAGGCGGAAUUCCCGGUGUAGCGGUGAAAUGCGUAGAUAUCGGGAGGAACAUCAGUGGCGAAGGCGGCCUUCUGGUCCAGUACUGACACUCAAGUGCGAAAGCGUGGGGAGCAAACAGG